Molecule: ribosomal RNA, 255 nt
Filed under: uncultured bacterium
Lineage: Bacteria
Description: partial 16S ribosomal RNA
Rfam family: Bacterial small subunit ribosomal RNA
Source: RNAcentral
UACAGGGGGAGCAAGCGUUAUCCGGAAUGAUUGGGCGUAAAGCAUUCGUAGGUGGUAGGUGAAGUCUACUGUCAAAUACCAGGGCUCAACCUUGGACAGGCAGUGGAGUACUCAUUUACUAGAGCGUGGUAGAGGUAGAGGGAAUUCCCCGUGGAGCGGUGAAAUGCGUAGAGAUGGGGAAGAACACCGGUGGCGAAGGCGGGUUGCUGGGCCGACACUGACGCUGACAGUGCGAAAGCUAGGGGAGCGAACGGG